RNAcentral lists this long non-coding RNA (1412 nucleotides) under Cricetulus griseus (Chinese hamster). RNAcentral's name for it is "lncRNA (ENSCGRG00015036185.1)". The record is from RNAcentral. Lineage: Eukaryota; Metazoa; Chordata; Mammalia; Rodentia; Cricetidae.
AUCAAUUGGUUUCCAGCUCAAGUAGUUCAGUGAGUAACAGCUUUAAUAAAUAAUGUCAGGCCAGGUGGUGGUAGCACAAACCCUUAAUCCCAGCACUCUGGAGGCAGAGGCAGGUAUAUUUCUGUGAGUUCGAGGCCAGCCUGGUCUACAAAGCUACACAGAGAAAUCUGUCUUCAAAAAAAUUAAAAUUAAAUUAAAUUAAAAUAAAAAUGAUGUCGGAACAACUUAAUGCCCAUGUUGGAGAGCAAAAUGUCAUUAAUUUGAGGCUGUGGGUUUAAAGUGGUAUAGUGCUUGCCUGGCAUGUACAAGGUGCUGAGUGUGAUCCCUAGCAACACCCAAAAGUUAAUUUGAUGUGUGUCAAAGACCAAACCUUAAAAUUUAGUAAUAAAGUACUUUAAGGAGAAAGGAGAAGGUGAUACGUUGAUAUGCAAAGGGUAUGCUAAACAGCACCUAGGAAAAUAUGUAUGAAAAAUGGAGCUGAAUUUGGAAGUCUGCGUGAAAUACUGGAACCCUCGCCCUGUCCCCCCCUCCCUCUCUACGCCAUCCCCUCACAGACCUUGCUGGGAUGAGGGGAAUUCACAGUAACUUGGUCCAGGUGUUGACUUUCAAAACCCAUUUUAUUCUAAGAUGCUUUAAUACUUUUGUUACUAUGCAGCUAUGAAAAGGGGGAACUCUGCUAGCUGCAGACGGUAAGUUUGAAGACGGUGAGUUUGAAGACGUUCAUUCCUAUUUGAUGCAAAAUAUCUUCUGUGAUGCUAGAAACAGCGGCUGUGAGAGCACGGCCAGCCCUAGUGUAAGGCUGCUCUGCUUGCUUGCUAUUGUAGGUGGCUCAGGGGAGGACGGGAGUGUUGUCGCCCAGCUCUGCUUGUUUGCUAUUGUAGGUGGCGCAGGGGAGGACGGGAAUGUUGUCGCCCUGCCCAGAGCUUGGAGCAAAAGAUCGCCGGGCAGAGGGACGAUAGUGCCGUGACUCGGAUUCGAACCGAGGUUGCUGCGGCCACAACGCAGAGUACUAACCACUAUACGAUCACGGCGAGCCACACACCGAACGGCACAUGUGUCGUCAGCGCUCGCACAAUUGACUGAGCCUCAGUUCCGCCCGGUCCUGAUCCCGACGUCUGCUUCUGCUGGGAUGCCUGCACCGUAACCCAGCCACCGGCUGCUCUUCUUGAAGCGGGCGGGGCACCAAUGGAUCUGCUGCUAGUUUGCGACACCUCUGAGAAGCCUGUGACGCAGAAAGCCGUGGCUGCAGAUAGCACCAAGCUAGAGACUUCCUCCUGCUCGGAUGAGAGGGACACCAGCACCAAUGAGAGCAAACCGUGAGGGAAAGUCCCGUGCCCACUGGGUGUGAAUGUUUGCAUCAAAGUCCUGAUGAUGAUCAACCCAGACUUUGGGAUGUGUCUCUCCAGUGACAG